UCUACGUUUACAUGCAAUCAUAUUAAUUGAGAUUGUUUAAAGGCAUUCGCUACAUGGCAAGAUACGCUCGAAUAAAUGAAGCGUAUCCAAAUGGAAAUUAGGAUCCCGGUCGAGUUAAUUGUUAAACACCGCAUGCAGGAUUGAUCCGAUUUAAUGUGUAUAAGCGGGAGUUAAUUUCAGCGCGCGGGUGGGGUGUCGGAACAAUGAAAAUUGGUUGAUGGUGUAUGGUGUCGUCUUGCAGUUAUCGAUAGCUGAGUGUGGUGGUGGUGUCCUACGGUGCGCCAGUUUUUCCCGGACAGAGUGGUGUAUACAUCACAGUAUAUACAGUAGAUAACCUUUUCAUGGUAGCUUUCUGAGGGGUGAAUAGCGGCCAUCUUGAAUUUUCAGA
RNAcentral lists this long non-coding RNA (388 nucleotides) under Bactrocera latifrons. RNAcentral describes it as "uncharacterized LOC108973997, transcript variant X2". The record is from RNAcentral. Lineage: Eukaryota; Metazoa; Arthropoda; Insecta; Diptera; Tephritidae.